GACGAACGCUGGCGGCGUGCCUAAUACAUGCAAGUAGAACGCUGAAGGAGGAGCUUGCUUCUCUGGAUGAGUUGCGAACGGGUGAGUAACGCGUAGGUAACCUGCCUGGUAGCGGGGGAUAACUAUUGGAAACGAUAGCUAAUACCGCAUAAUAGUAGAUGUCGCAUGACAUUUGCUUAAAAGGUGCAAUUGCAUCACUACCAGAUGGACCUGCGUUGUAUUAGCUAGUUGGUGAGGUAACGGCUCACCAAGGCAACGAUACAUAGCCGACCUGAGAGGGUGAUCGGCCACACUGGGACUGAGACACGGCCCAGACUCCUACGGGAGGCAGCAGUAGGGAAUCUUCGGCAAUAGACGGAAGUCUGACCGAGCAACGCCGCGUGAGUAAAGAAGGUUUUCGGAUCGUAAAGCUCUGUUGUAAGAGAAGAACGAGUGUGAGAGUGGAAAGUUCACACUGUGACGGUAUCUUACCAGAAAGGGACGGCUAACUACGUG
This 495-nucleotide ribosomal RNA is filed under the name uncultured bacterium. RNAcentral's name for it is "partial 16S ribosomal RNA". It matches the Rfam family "Bacterial small subunit ribosomal RNA", at positions 28 to 507 of the family's 1533-position model. The record is from RNAcentral.